RNAcentral lists this unclassified non-coding RNA (268 nucleotides) under fungal sp. RNAcentral describes it as "partial internal transcribed spacer region". The stretch from base 1 to 46 matches the Rfam family "Eukaryotic small subunit ribosomal RNA", at positions 1786 to 1831 of the family's 1831-position model. Lineage: Eukaryota; Fungi. The record is from RNAcentral.
AAGUCGUAACAAGGUUUCCGUAGGUGAACCUGCGGAAGGAUCAUUCCCAAAAAGCUUUUAAACAAACUUUUUAACGAUUGUGUGAACAACAACAACCUUUUCUUUUUUUUUUAAUUUUAAUUAACCAAGUGUAACUUUAUAGUUAAUUUCAUUGAUUUGCUUGAGAGAGCAAUCAAGAAAAACCCCAAAAAUUUUCUAAAACAAUAAAAACAAAAAACAAAAAAAACAAAAAAGUACAACUCUUAACAAUGGAUAUCUCGGCUCUUGC